UACGAAGGGGGCGAGCGUUGUUCGGAAUUACUGGGCGUAAAGGGCGCGCAGGCGGCUCUGAAAGUCAGAUGUGAAAGCCCCGGGCUUAACCUGGGAAUUGCAUUUGAUACUCUGGAGCUUGAGUACGGGAGAGGAGAGUGGAAUUCCCAGUGUAGAGGUGAAAUUCGUAGAUAUUGGGAAGAACACCGGUGGCGAAGGCGGCUCACUGGCUCAUUACUGACGCUCAGGCGCGAUAGCGUGGGGAUCAAACAGG
This 253-nucleotide ribosomal RNA is filed under the name uncultured bacterium. RNAcentral's name for it is "partial 16S ribosomal RNA". It matches the Rfam family "Bacterial small subunit ribosomal RNA", at positions 524 to 776 of the family's 1533-position model. The record is from RNAcentral.